This is a small nuclear RNA of Rhipicephalus sanguineus (brown dog tick), 185 nucleotides long. RefSeq annotates it as U2 spliceosomal RNA. The record is from RefSeq and is a predicted model, not a curated record. NCBI's taxonomy places the organism in Eukaryota, Metazoa, Arthropoda, Arachnida, Ixodida, Ixodidae. The transcript has a single exon.
ACGUCAAUUUAUAUGAAAUCUACUGUAGUAUCUGCUUCUUAUCAGCUUAAUAUCUGAUACGGGUCCUAUUUGGACCCAAGAUAUUAAACUUAUUUUUCGAAUGGGGCGGAUCUACUAAAAACGACAGCAGGAAGGUUCGUACACACGCUAGCCUUUCAAAUGAUUUCGAGAAGUGCGGAUACUCU